This 499-nucleotide ribosomal RNA is filed under the name uncultured bacterium. RNAcentral's name for it is "partial 16S ribosomal RNA". It matches the Rfam family "Bacterial small subunit ribosomal RNA", at positions 899 to 1397 of the family's 1533-position model. The record is from RNAcentral.
ACUCAAAGGAAUUGACGGGGGCCCGCACAAGCGGUGGAGCAUGUGGUUCAAUUCGACGCAACGCGAAGAACCUUACCUGGGCUCGAACGGCUGGUCAACGGGAGUGGAAACACUUUUACCCCGCAAGGGGGUCCAGUCGAGGUGCUGCAUGGCUGUCGUCAGCUCGUGUCGUGAGAUGUUGGGUUAAGUCCCGCAACGAGCGCAACCCUUGUCCUGUGUUGCCCAUCCGCAAGGAGGAACUCGCAGGAGACCGCCAGCGAUAAGUUGGAGGAAGGUGGGGAUGACGUCAAGUCCUCAUGGCCUUUAUGUCCAGGGCUACACACGUGCUACAAUGGCCGGUACAAAGCGCAGCAAACCUGCGAAGGGGAGCCAAUCGCAAAAAACCGGUCUCAGUUCGGAUUGCAGGCUGCAACUCGCCUGCAUGAAGCUGGAAUCGCUAGUAAUGGCAGAUCAGCACGCUGCCGUGAAUACGUUCCCGGGCCUUGUACACACCGCCCGU